AAAUAGUGUCUGUAAAAAACUGUGUGGGAAAAUGUGUAUAUUAUCGAUUUGAAAUACGAAUAACGAUUAUAAAAAACUUUCUCGCAGAAGUAUAAGUGCUUCUAUGUCGGUUUAACAGUCGGUAUCAUCUGAACAAAUGCGUUGACAUUGGAUUCUUUUAAAACAUCUCGAGAGCGGAAUCAAAUGUCACUUGGAGACUUGAUUAGCCUUUACUGACAUCGAUAUACACAAACAUGUCAUGGGGGAACUUGUCGGAGGAAGAUAAUCGUCACAGUUCUUGGGGAUCGAAUGAAUCCAGGCCCGGCUCCUGGGGAUGUAGCGGAUGGGGAGCAAGUGAAACAAGCUCGAAUAUUAGAUGUACUGAGUAUCUUGCUUGGGGGUCCAGUGAAUGGGGAACAAGCGUUCCUGGACCUACAAGUUGGGGGACUAAUGGCUUUGGUUCCAGUUCCUCAAAUUCAAAUGACUGGGGCUCUAGCGGUUUAGGGCCUAGCAAGAAGUCUGAAGGGAUUGUUAAACAUCGAUUCUGGUGCACAGAAGGUAUACGGACGUGGGGAGGAAGCAGUUAUAGAUAUGACGAAAGUUGUCCCGGAUGUCGCAGGGAUAGAGCAAUCGGACGGGCAAAUACAAACAGUGGCAGCGCCGUCAUUCCAUUAGUAUCACUGUUUGUUGGAAGCAGGCCAAAAAUAGCAAAGAAAAGUUUAUGGGAUAACUGAGGCUGUAUACAUUUCAUUGUUGUUUAUUGUGUAGCUUGUUUUGAAAAAAAGUGCAAUAUUGUAUAAACAAACUAUUUGCAGUUGCAAUAAAAAUGUAGUUAUAUUAUUCGAGGUAUUCUUUCUGUUCUGGUUGUAAAUGAUAGGAUAUACGUAAAUAAAUACUAUUAAAUCUUGAGAAUCUUUGAUACUUAUAUUGUCAUCCAUUUACUUUGAUAAGUGUAUUGAAUUUUAUUAUAAAACAAGUAGGUGUGGAGUGCAUUUUUUUCAAAUGAAAAUAUAUUCUUAAUUUCUUAUCAAGAUGACCCUAUGUAAAAAAAUAGAAGAAGGAUAAUCCUUCGAAGAAUUAAUUACAAAAAAAUACAUGAAAAUUGCAGACUCGGUUUAACUGGGUCUUUCCAUGGGGGAUAAUGAAAAGGCCCAACAUUUCUCAUGCCCCCUAGCACCGGCUCUAGCGGUACUCAAUUUCCAACGCUUAAAAGUGCUGGAAUCAAUGAUCCCGACCGACCAGAAACAUAUAACAACACUGAAGUGAAGUACGGGCCGUCUACUUUCUACAUAGGUUGGGACAUUUAUCGUUUCAUUGAUUUGAAAAAGAACCACACAUUAAGUACAUGUAUAUAGAAAUUUGCCAGCUUAAAUAUUUAAUGGUCGACACUCCACAGUAAAUGACAAGGAGAAUGCGUAAUAAAAUAAUCGCAAAUAAUAUUAUAAAUAUCCACAAUAUACUAAUAAAGUUUAAUUCUGUUUUGAAUUUGAUUUGUUUACAUUGAAGUUUUUCCAUAAAACUUAUUUUCACAAUUAGACACUUCUUUGUGGGUAACAUAAAAUCCUUCUUACAAUCAUCAUUUGGACUUUAAGAUGUUUGUUAUAUCCACGUUCAAAAAGUGUAUUGUUUUGACAGGUUUUCUUUUCGUUUGUUUUUGUUUUGUUUUCCUUUUUUUAAUGUUCUUUUGUUUUCUUUCUGUAAAAUAAAUCAUACAUUCGAAUUACAUCUCAAAGUAAGAGCGCAGUAGUUCUUUCACCUAUACAUGAUUCCGAUAUUUACGUCAUUGUCAGACAAGUUUAAGAGUUUGUCAUAAUAUGUCUUAUAAUUAUCUAUUCUUAUCACUGCUACAAGUAAAUGAAAUGUUACACAUAAUUCUUCAUUGUUCAUCUUAUCUUUAAUUAUUUCACUAAUAACCUCUUAAUUGCAUUUUACUAGCUUUUAUAGGGAGGUGGGGGCCAUCAACAGAACCGUUAGGUUUAAGAAUAACACUGGAAAAGAAAAAUUUAGUAUUUGAUGCCAACGACGUUCUCAAUAUAAAAAAAAACAAGCUGUUAGGCGCUGAGUUCAUACUGACAUGUAAACUUGGCAGUUAUUCAGAUUUGUACCUCUAAAACACAAUUAGUAAAACAUAUGAUAUUACUUUUGUUGUUUUUCAUCAUUCUAGGAAAGUUGAUUAACUGACAAAGUGAAUAAUAUUAUGUGAAGAAAUUCUUGAUUCAAAUUUGCCAUCAAGAUAAGAGGUGAUGAAUUCGGGCAACUCGUUUAGUGGAAGCUGGUCAAGCAACAGUUUUAGUAACGGAAGUAGGAGUAGCUCUGGAGAUAGUUGGUGUGCCAGUUCAUGGGGAAGCAACUCUGGCGACAAAUACCCAGAAGGCAUACACAAAUCUUCUUGUAUUGGUGGAUCUGGAUAUUCGGGAACGUGUAGAUUCAUGACGAGAUAUCAUAAUGAAAGUUGUUCGGGCUGUCGACAUGAAAAGACCAAAUCUUCAUCAUCAAAUGAACGAAAAUCACUAAGGGUUGUUGGUCUUUUUGGAUUUUGAAGAACGUACAAGGUUAACUAACUUUUGAUAAGGUCAACAGCUCUAAUUAAUACGGCAGGUACACAAUGUAAUGUUCACAGUGAUUCAGUAUUAAACAAUGAAAUAUGUCACAAUGCUAUAUUACAUUUUAGAGAAGAAACUGCUUGACUGAAUAGAAUAAAAUAGAAAAAAUUAUAACCUUGACGGUGAUCAAGUCUUUGUGUUCAAAGGUCCUGUGCAUUCGUGACCAUUCACUUGUAAAUCAAGCAUUAAGUGAUUCCUAAAGCCGUGAUAUUCAAGGACAUUGGUUUCUUGCAUAUCAGACAUGAUCAUCUAUUGGGGCUAGAAAAACCUGUCAUACACCCCUCGUGUAAAACAUUUUAUGAAUGGUGUCCUUAGAAUGACGUCAUUUUAUCAUUAUACAUGAAAUUGUAAAUUCAUACGCUAAGAAAACAGUGCUAACUGAUAAUGCAAGUUUUUUGUUAUUUCUUUCCGAGAUAUGUAGAAUAAGUAAUAUGCAAGAAAAAGGAAUAAAAAAUCUCGGCUAACGGCAGAGCUUUUUACCGCCGUAAGCAGUUACCCUCGGGCUAGAUAUUCCUGUCUGUACCGGCAGUCAGUGUAAGGUUCCUAUAAUAUUUUAAGUGAUUACUUUAGUAUUUCAACAAUUACAUUAAAAAGCAAUAUUAUUACUGAUACUGUUUUGAAGAAAUAUCCAAAAAUGUCAAUUUGAGAAAAUUGUAUGCAAAAUAAAAUACGAAAUAUCUUUUGAAGAAAAUCAGAAAUAUACCGAUUUUGGAGUGUGUUUGUUCAAAUCAUAAUAAUUAUUUUAUCAUUACUCAGAUUGUUUAUUUAUUGCUAGUAUUUUCCACAAUAGCCGUUUAGUUUCUUUUCUAUAUAUUUAUAAAAUAUGUUUAAUUUGUACUUGUUGUGUAAGGUAUAUUGUAAUAAAAUGCUGAAGUUUAA
Long non-coding RNA from Ruditapes philippinarum (Manila clam), 3461 nucleotides. RefSeq lists it as uncharacterized. The transcript is spliced from 3 exons. Lineage: Eukaryota; Metazoa; Mollusca; Bivalvia; Venerida; Veneridae. The record is from RefSeq and is a predicted model, not a curated record.